AUGAUUGUCGAGUGUAAAGGGUUACCUUCAAGUAUAAGGAACAACUUCUUGGCAAGACCACUCAGGAAGGCCUCCAGAUCAUUUUUCUUCCCAGUCAACUGGCUAACUUUGUCGGUCAGGGCAGCUUUGUCAGUUUUCAGUCGACUGACUUCCUUGUUGGCGAUCCCAAGAGCAGCUUUCAGAUUGGUAUUUUCUUGUUCGAGCUUGGUGACUGAAGCUAACUUCUCGUCAGCAAGCUUGAUCUUCUCAGAUAGCUCAAGGUAUUUUUUUCUUCUGGGCCUCCUUCACCUUACCUGCAAGUUACAGCAAGAUCAGAUUUUGAAACAAAUGAAGGAAAAAAGCAGUCGUCGAGGUCUCACCAAACAUACCUUUGGUCUCCUCCUUUGCCUUCAUCAGAUUCUCCUGAACCAGCUUCAAAUCCAGCUCGAGCUGAAUGUGCUUGUUUUCCAGCUCGGUGUAACGAGCCGCAAGGUCACAGGAUUUCUGCGAAGAACCAAUCGACAAAAUGUUAAAGAUAAUUCACUUCCGAGUGGAAAAGAAAAAAAUCAUGUGUUUCUAAGACUACAGCCGAAUACAAGCAUUCGACCGUAG
RNAcentral lists this ribosomal RNA (591 nucleotides) under Triticum aestivum (bread wheat). RNAcentral describes it as "partial small subunit ribosomal RNA". Lineage: Eukaryota; Viridiplantae; Streptophyta; Magnoliopsida; Poales; Poaceae. The record is from RNAcentral.